This 553-nucleotide ribosomal RNA is filed under the name uncultured Anaplasmataceae bacterium. RNAcentral's name for it is "bacterial SSU rRNA". It matches the Rfam family "Bacterial small subunit ribosomal RNA", at positions 65 to 652 of the family's 1533-position model. The record is from RNAcentral. Lineage: Bacteria; Pseudomonadati; Pseudomonadota; Alphaproteobacteria; Rickettsiales; Anaplasmataceae.
GACUGCAAUGUAGCUUGCUAUGUUGUUGUUAGUGGCAGACGGGUGAGUAAUGCGUAGGAACCUACCUAAUAGUAUGGGAUAGCUGUUGGAAACGACUGGUAAUACCAUAUAUUCCCUAUGGGGGAAAGAUUUAUCGCUAUUAGAUGGGCCUGCGUUGGAUUAGCUAGUUGGUGGGGUAAUGGCCUACCAAGGCUACGAUCUAUAGCUGGUUUGAGAGGAUGAUCAGCCACACUGGAACUGAGAUACGGUCCAGACUCCUACGGGAGGCAGCAGUGGGGAAUAUUGGACAAUGGGCGAAAGCCUGAUCCAGCCAUGCCGCAUGAGUGAAGAAGGCCUUAGGGUUGUAAAGCUCUUUUAGUGGGGAAGAUAAUGACGGUACCCACAGAAGAAGUCCCGGCUAACUCCGUGCCAGCAGCCGCGGUAAUACGGAGGGGGCAAGCGUUGUUCGGAAUUAUUGGGCGUAAAGGGCACGUAGGCGGUUUAGUUAGUUAAGAGUUAAAGACCGAGGCUCAACCUCGGGGGUGCUCUUAAUACUGCUAAGCUAGAGGUCGAA